This is a non-coding RNA of Dallia pectoralis (Alaska blackfish), 73 nucleotides long. The record is from the annotation of a GenBank genome assembly. NCBI's taxonomy places the organism in Eukaryota, Metazoa, Chordata, Actinopteri, Esociformes, Umbridae.
GGAGCAGUUGGUAGCUCAGUUGGUAGAGCGUUUUGUGUGUAUGACGUCCUGGGUUCAAAUCCCAGCUGCUCCC